GUGAGGAAUUUUCCGCAAUGGGCGAAAGCCUGACGGAGCAAUGCCGCGUGAAGGAUGAAGGCCUAUGGGUUGUAAACUUCUUUUCUUAGAGAAGAAUAUUGACGGUAUCUGAGGAAUAAGCACCGGCUAACUCCGUGCCAGCAGCCGCGGUAAUACGGAGGGUGCGAGCGUUGUCCGGAUUUAUUGGGUUUAAAGGGUGCGUAGGCUGGAAGGUCAGUCAGCGGUGAAAAGCUGUCGCUUAACGAUAGUCUUGCCGCAGAUACUUCCUUUCUUGGAUGAGGAGGAGGCCACUGGAACGGAUGGUGUAGCGGUGAAAUGCAUAGAUAUCAUCCAGAACACCGAUUGCGAAGGCAGGUGGCUGUACCUUAAUCGACGCUGAUGCACGAAAGCAUGGGGAGCAAACAGGAUUAGAAACCCCGGUAGUCC
Molecule: ribosomal RNA, 426 nt
Filed under: uncultured bacterium
Lineage: Bacteria
Description: partial 16S ribosomal RNA
Rfam family: Bacterial small subunit ribosomal RNA
Source: RNAcentral